Long non-coding RNA from Otolemur garnettii (small-eared galago), 273 nucleotides. RefSeq lists it as uncharacterized. The transcript has 2 exons. NCBI's taxonomy places the organism in Eukaryota, Metazoa, Chordata, Mammalia, Primates, Galagidae. The record is from RefSeq and is a predicted model, not a curated record.
GAACUGCCAGGGGUACUUCAAUGCUGGUGAGAAGUACCCCAGAAAGAUGGUUGUCUGCAAAUCCCAAAAACUUGCAGGGACUAUGCGAACUCGCAGAGGCAUAAGGAACUUCCUCAAGAAAUGGCACUCUCCAAAGAAGUCAACCUGAAAGCAUGCAGCCAAUACUUUCUGAGAUGGCUCUGAGCAUCUCUGCUGACCAUUCCUCUCCUGCACUCACCCAAACUAUCCACUGUGGACAGCUCCAGUCCAGCCCAAUAAAAUUCCAGCUCAGAA